GGAUCGCGCGCGAGCGGUUCUGCCGUAUCGCAACGAGCGUGACUUAAGGGGAGUUUCGACGUCGGAGCUUGAAAAUAUGUUUAUAAAAACGUCGUUAUAAAAGUGUUUUCGUCGGCCGGGACGUCUGCGUGAGGAGCAACGGCGGCAGCAGCAGCACCACCAGCAGCAGCAGCAGCUUCAGCAACAGGCGCUUUUUAAAGCUACUCCGAAAGUGAUCCCGACGGUGACGACGUAUUAUACCAACGCUAUAAAGUACCAAUGUCCAAUCGUAUCCUUUAAGGACUUUUGCAACGGCAGCGCUGAUUCCUUCACCACCGUUAACGCCGGCACCGGGAGAAAUAUUAUUAACCGCUGCUGUUGAAGCAUUUGCGAGGUUUUUAUUUUUAUUUUUAUUUUUACUAUUAUUAUUGUUGUUGUUGUUGUUGGUAGUUUUAUUGUUGUUGUUGUUGUUGUUGUUUUUAGGAUUUACGCUGCUACCGCCGCUGCUGAUAUCAGCAAUUGAAUUGGCUGCCGCAGCGGUAGAAUCGCCGCACCCACUGACACUCAAAUUGCGAAGAUCUUUAUCGGAGGUACUGCAUGAGAUAAUAUUUUUGCUAUUCAUUGAGACUGUACGAUUAUUUUUAUUAAAACUUUCGUCCACGUUAUUUUCAUCGUUUAUGCAUUCCUCGUAUUUUAUGAUAUUUUUAUCGUUGCCGCUGCAGAUUGCAGCUGCGUUAUUAACGGCUAUUAUCUUCUUUGAUACGUUGCUGCAGUUAUUGUUAUUUGUCUUUGACGCCGCG
This 779-nucleotide unclassified non-coding RNA is filed under the name Athalia rosae (coleseed sawfly). RNAcentral's name for it is "misc RNA ENSAEAG00005008589.1". Lineage: Eukaryota; Metazoa; Arthropoda; Insecta; Hymenoptera; Athaliidae. The record is from RNAcentral.